This 233-nucleotide ribosomal RNA is filed under the name uncultured bacterium. RNAcentral's name for it is "partial 16S ribosomal RNA". It matches the Rfam family "Bacterial small subunit ribosomal RNA", at positions 100 to 334 of the family's 1533-position model. The record is from RNAcentral.
CGGGACGGGUGAGUAAUGUCUAGGGAAACUGCCUGAUGGGAGGGGGAUACACUGGAAACGGUAGCUAAUACCGCAUAACGUCGCAAGACCAAAGAGGGGGACCUUCGGGCCUCUUGCCAUCGGAUGUGCCCAGAUGGGAUUAGCUAGUAGGUGGGGUAACGGCUCACCUAGGCGACGAUCCCUAGCUGGUCUGAGAGGAUGACCAGCCACACUGGAACUGAGACACGGUCCAG